RNAcentral lists this ribosomal RNA (719 nucleotides) under uncultured bacterium. RNAcentral's name for it is "bacterial SSU rRNA". It matches the Rfam family "Bacterial small subunit ribosomal RNA", at positions 8 to 722 of the family's 1533-position model. The record is from RNAcentral.
AGAGUUUGAUCAUGGCUCAGGACGAACGCUGGCGGCGUGCCUAACACAUGCAAGUCAACGAGAAAGGGGUAGCAAUAUCCCGAUUAAAGUGGCGCACGGGUGAGUAACACGUAGGUAAUCUGCCUUUAGGACGGGGACAACCUCGAGAAAUCGUGGCUAAUACCCGAUAAUGCAGCGGCACCGCAUGGUGACAGUUGUUAAACCCCGCAAGGGGCCUAUAGAUGAGCCUGCGUCCCAUUAGGUAGUUGGAGGAGUAAAAGCCCCCCAAGCCAACGAUGGGUAGCUGGUCUGAGAGGAUGACCAGCCACACUGGAACUGAGACACGGUCCAGACUCCUACGGGAGGCAGCAGUGAGGAAUAUUGCGCAAUGGUCGAAAGGCUGACGCAGCGACGCCGCGUGAAGGAUGAAGUCCGUUAGGAUGUAAACUUCUUUUGCGGGGGACGAACGAGGCGCUACAGGCGCCUGUGACGGUACCCCGUGAAUAAGGAUCGGCUAACUACGUGCCAGCAGCCGCGGUAAUACGUAGGAUCCGAGCGUUGUCCGGAAUUACUGGGUGUAAAGGGCGUGUAGGUGGGCUUCUAAGUCGGUGGUGAAAUCUUGCAGCUUAACCGUAAAAUGGCCAUCGAAACUGGAAGUCUUGAGUACGGCAGAGGGAAAUGGAAUUCAUGGUGUAGCGGUGAAAUGUGUAGAUAUCAUGAAGAACACCGGUAGCGAAGGC